CAAUAGCGUAUAUUAAAGUUGUUGCAGUUAAAAAGCUCGUAGUUGGAUUUCUGGGAGGGUGCCGCCGUCCGGCGUGUCCGUGUGCAGUGGCGCCCUUCCAUCCUUCUGUUAGCGUCUCUUGGCAUUCAUUUGCUGGUGGCGGGCUCAGAUAUUUUACCUUGAGAAAAUUAGAGUGUUUCAGGCAGGCUAGGCCGGAAUACAUUAGCAUGGAAUAAUGGAAUAGGACUACGGUCUCUUUGUUGGUUUGAGGGACUGCGGUAAUGAUUAAUAGGGAUAGUUGGGGGCAUUAGUAUUUAAUUGUCAGAGGUGGAAUUCUCAGAUUUGUUAAAGACUAACUUAUGCGAAAGCAUUUGCCAAGGAUGUUUUCAUUA
Molecule: ribosomal RNA, 371 nt
Filed under: uncultured eukaryote
Lineage: Eukaryota
Description: partial 18S ribosomal RNA
Rfam family: Eukaryotic small subunit ribosomal RNA
Source: RNAcentral